Long non-coding RNA from Physeter macrocephalus (sperm whale), 3268 nucleotides. RefSeq lists it as uncharacterized. The transcript has 4 exons. Lineage: Eukaryota; Metazoa; Chordata; Mammalia; Artiodactyla; Physeteridae. The record is from RefSeq and is a predicted model, not a curated record.
GGGGCCGGGCGGCCUUCCCCAGCCGCCCCGGCGUGCGAGCGGGGCGGCGUCCCGGGGGUAGCGGGGACCCCGCCCGGGACCGAGGGAGCGUGACCGCCUUUUCCCUCCCAGCUGCGGGGGACGGCGCAGUAGAGGACCGCCGCCCGGCCACUUAUCUAAAAGGGAGUCAGGGCCACGGGCGGAAUCAACUGGAAUCCUCACUUUCUCAAGCCACCGACCGCCCAGCCCGCAGCCUUACCGGGCGUAUCGGGCACCCCUCCCCCGGCAGCGCAUUUCCGCCGCCAGCGACCCGACGCCCCCCGGCCCCCCCGCAGGCCCAGUGCCCUUGCAGGGAGAGAUUGCACACCCAUAGCAUAGGUCUUUAGUACUCUGCGAAUAACGUGAUGAUACAAAGGUUGGACUGAGAAAGGAAAGAAAAAAACAAAACAUUUUGGGUCAGUUCACGAGCGUCUGGCCCUCUGGCUUCACAAGUCAGGAAAGCCAGGCCGCAGCGAUGGGGAAGGGGUCUGGGGGCUUCCUCUCCGACUUGCGGGCGCGUCAUCUGGCUGAAGAACGCACGCUGGCCCGUGGGAGGCACAGGAGAUCACCAAGGCCUCGACUGAUCCACUAGUGGAAGGAAGUUUGGUUUUUGACCUGCCGGCAACGCAGCGUCUCACGUUUCUGACUUGUCUUUGAAAAGAAUCGCGACAACCCGGUAGAGAGUGGCCAGGGAGGCACAUGAAACAGCAAUGUGGAAACAAUGCCGGUAUUUUUUUUCCACAAAAGAAAGACCAUCUUUCCCCGGGUGUUGUCCCCUCUCUUGGUCCUAGUGCAGGAGCUUUUGAAAGAUAAAGGAUGCUUUAUUGUGUCACCUGGCCUUUGCUUAGCACUGGAUACAGCCAGCCCAGGGGUUGCGAUAUUCGGAGAUUCUCUCUGGACUCCACAGCUGGAGGGAAGAAUUGCAGGGCAGAGGAGGCAUACACGUCAACACAUACACACGUGAUCAGCAAGGAUGAUUUCAGAGCAUUGACUUCCAACCCCUUCCCACCUGCCUAGCGACUCAACUCAGCAGACUGGCCCACUGUUCCGGUCCUGUUGGAGGAGGUCACCGAGAGGACCUGACCGCUAACUGAGCCUCAAGCUGGACCCAGGCAAUUGGAGGCGCCUCCCUCCCUCCCCUGUCCUUGGAAGAUAUGUUCUGCCCACUGUUCCAAGGAUGCAGCCGGAGCUGUUCCAAGGAUGCAGCCAUGAGAGAGCAAUGUGGUGUUGAGACCGUUUGGACGGUCAAUGUAACUGAACCCCGGUGUCGGGUUUGGAUGAUAAAUUAUACAGGCUCCCCAUCCAUCUCUCAUCUGUCACUAGCUGCUGAGAAUGCUUCUUCUCAAAAUAGAGCCACCUUCCCUGUCCAAGCUUCGUCACUUGCUGCCUGUCUACAUUGCAGCGGCCCUGUGCUUCCUUCUCAUCCGAUCCACACCGUACACGUCUCCUCUAAAACACAGCUCUCAACGUGGGACACCCACCCAAAUGCUUCCAACGAUGUCCAGUCACCUAGAACCGCUAAAUCAAAACAAUCACAAGCCACCUUCUAAAGUCCUGGGUCAUCUCUAAAAGUCGUAUUUCUUUUUAGGCAGAUUAGCUGCUCGCUAAUCUGGACACUUGACUAUCAUCAGGUUAACUCUUCACCGAGUCCACACUCCAAGCAAGCCCUCACAUUCAUGGCUCUGCUGACACGGUUAAACUUUUUCCCAUCUUCUCCAGCCCUAGCUUCUCUCUCUACAACUCAGCCCGCUCCUUGUCCGGAAGUCCUUCGUCAAGUGCAAGGAGCGUGGGUUUCACAUUCACGAAGAUCUGAAUUUGAUUGUAGAUCCUAGUGUCCAGGCACUAACCAUUAUGUUUUAUUGAUCCUAAAACAUACCUCCCCCCCCCAACAUUUUAACAUACCUGGGAAUGAAAUAUGCCUUAAAAUCUACGGCACCUUAGCAUCAGUAAAAUAUAGUAGCUCUCUGGCUUUGUGUUCUAACACAGACUCUCCGAGUCUUGGUUUCCUCAUCUUUUAAAACAGGAAUAAUACCCGAGUCUCAAGACUGUUGUGGAAAUGACUUGAGAUAACUGUAGUCGAGACCCGGGUUGGGGAUAUCUCCGUGGGAAUCUGGAUACUAUGUCCAGCCAUUUUGUAAUCAUCACCCAGUAUCUCACGGGAAGGUGUACCACGUGCAAACAUUGCAUUGCAACAGAUACCAAAGUUUGUGUCCUAAUAGACUUACACAGAAUCCUCUGCAGUGUGCUGAAUCAGAAAGUAGUCUCACCCACAGGGGUGGGUGGCUUAGCCACGACAUUCCACUGAGAAAUCUGUUCAGAGGAAAUAAGGGGGACCUUUCUCCAGGGGUAAUUGGUCAAGUAGCUUUUAGUUGGAAAGAUGUCAUUUGCUUCGAGAAAACUACAAAAGCAGCUUUGUCCUUAAUUUAUUCCUAAGUAGAAAAUCUUCAAAAACUGAUUUUAUGUAAAAAAAUCCCCAGGUAGGUAAGUAUUGGGUCCCAGGUGGAUGUUUUGAUACUGUUCAUUUGGAGAAUGUUCAUCGCCCUCCCUUGUGAGAGACCCUCCCCUUGCUGUACAAAAGAUUGCCCACUCUGAGAAGCCUGGCAGGCAGCCACCCACCCUGGGAUACAACUACCUGACUGGCAAGGGAAUCUUUCCUUCUGUGUCCUUUUGCUGCAGCCUCAGGUGAGAAGCCCAUCCUUUGCAGAAGAGCCCCAGGUACAGAUCAUCAAGGGUUGUGGUGUAGGAUUUUAACUGGAGCUAUCAGUAACUAUGAGGUCAUGAUCUGAUAUUCUAGCUCUGCCCCCAGGAAGAGCCUGAAUCAAUAAUACCCCAUGGCAAUAAGCUCACUUAGGGACCAGGUGUUGGUUUCUAACUAUUUUCUACCAAAAAGAACCAAGGCUCCCUAGAGAAUUGGCUGAUAGUAGGUCUGAGUCAGGAACGUGUUGCAUGCUGGAAAGCAAAGACAUGUUCAAAGACAAUUUAAUAGUUCAUAUCAAAAGGACACAGAAGCCAGCUUGAAAGGGAGUCCACUGACCAAAUCUGGAAGACUUUAAGGAUCAAAAAGAAUAGGGACUUCCCUGGUGGCGCAAUGGUUAAGAAUCUGCCUGCCGACACAGGGGACACGGGUUCGAGCCCUGCUCCGGGGAGAUCCCACAUGCCGCGGAGCAGUUAAGCCCAUGCACCACAACUACUGAGCCUGAGCUCUAGAGCCCGCGAGCCACAACUACUGAGCCUGCGAGCCACAACUGCU